GACUUGGUAGCUCAGCCGGUAGAGCACAACACUUUUAAUGUUGGGGUCCUGGGUUCGAACCCCAGCCAAGUCA
This 73-nucleotide transfer RNA is filed under the name Flavobacteriaceae bacterium. RNAcentral's name for it is "tRNA-Lys". It matches the Rfam family "tRNA". Rfam says of the family: Transfer RNA (tRNA) molecules are approximately 80 nucleotides in length. Lineage: Bacteria; Pseudomonadati; Bacteroidota; Flavobacteriia; Flavobacteriales; Flavobacteriaceae. The record is from RNAcentral.